ACGAUUGACGGAGCGAAGCGACGUCAAAGCGUUCAUUAAAGUCGAGUUGGCUUAGGGAUACGUUCGUUGGGUAGGGGAGCGUUCUGUAAGCCUGCGAAGGUGGCCUGUGAGGGUUGCUGGAGGUAUCAGAAGUGCGAAUGCUGACAUAAGUAACGAUAAAGCGGGUGAAAAGCCCGCUCGCCGGAAGACCAAGGGUUCCUGUCCAACGUUAAUCGGGGCAGGGUGAGUCGACCCCUAAGGCGAGGCCGAAAGGCGUAGUCGAUGGGAAACGGGUUAAUAUUCCCGUACUUGGUGUUACUGCGAAGGGGGGACGGAGAAGGCUAUGUUGGCCGGGCGACGGUUGUCCCGGUUUAAGCGUGUAGGUGUGUGUUCCAGGUAAAUCCGGUUCACUUUAACACUGAGGCGUGACGACGAGGCACUACGGUGCUGAAGCAACAAAUGCCCUGCUUCCAGGAAAAGCCUCUAAGCAUCAGGUAACAUCAAAUCGUACCCCAAACCGACACAGGUGGUCAGGUAGAGAAUACCAAGGCGCUUGAGAGAACUCGGGUGAAGGAACUAGGCAAAAUGGUGCCGUAACU
RNAcentral lists this ribosomal RNA (578 nucleotides) under Salmonella enterica subsp. enterica serovar Havana. Its description in RNAcentral is "partial 23S ribosomal RNA". It matches the Rfam family "Bacterial large subunit ribosomal RNA", at positions 1182 to 1735 of the family's 2925-position model. Lineage: Bacteria; Pseudomonadati; Pseudomonadota; Gammaproteobacteria; Enterobacterales; Enterobacteriaceae. The record is from RNAcentral.